UACCGAGUGCGGGCCCUCUGGGUCCAACCUCCCAUCCGUGUCUAUCUGUACCCUGUUGCUUCGGCGUGGCCACGGCCCGCCGAAGACUAACAUUUGAACACUGUCUGAAGUUUGCAGUCUGAGUUUUUAGUUAAACAAUAAUUAAAACUUUCAACAACGGAUCUCUUGGUUCCGGCAUCGAUGAAGAACGCAGCGAAAUGCGAUAAUUAAUGUGAAUUGCAGAAUUCAGUGAAUCAUCGAGUCUUUGAACGCACAUUGCGCCCCCUGGUAUUCCGGGGGGCAUGCCUGUCCGAGCGUCAUUGCUGCCCUCAAGCACGGCUUGUGUGUUGGGCUUCCGUCCCUGGUAACGGGGACGGGCCCAAAAGGCAGUGGCGGCACCAUGUCUGGUCCUCGAGCGUAUGGGGCUUUGUCACCCGCUCCCGUAGGUCCAGCUGGCAGCUAGCCUCGCAACCAAUCUUUUUAACCAGGUUGACCUCGGAUCAGGUAGGGAUACCCGCUGAACUUAAGCAUAUCAAUAAGCGGAGGAAAAGAAACCAACAGGGAUUGCCUCAGUAACGGCGAGUGAAGCGGCAAGAGCUCAAAUUUGAAAUCUGGCCCCUCCGGGGUCCGAGUUGUAAUUUGUAGAGGAUGCUUCGGGUGCGGCCCCCGUCUAAGUGCUCUGGAACGGGCCAUCGGAGAGGGUGAGAAUCCCGUCUGGGACGGGGUGUCCGCGUCCAUGUGAAGCUCCUUCGACGAGUCGAGUUGUUUGGGAAUGCAGCUCUAAAUGGGUGGUAAAUUUCAUCUAAAGCUAAAUACUGGCCGGAGACCGAUAGCGCACAAGUAGAGUGAUCGAAAGAUGAAAAGCACUUUGAAAAGAGAGUUAAACAGCACGUGAAAUUGUUGAAAGGGAAGCGCUUGCGACCAGACUCGCUUCCGGGGUUCAGCCGGCUUUCGGGCCGGUGUACUUCCCCGGGGGCGGGCCAGCGUCGGUUUGGGCGGCCGGUCAAAGGCCCCUGGAAUGUAACGCCCCUCGGGGCGCCUUAUAGCCAGGGGUGUCAUGCGGCCAGCCUGGACCGAGGAACGCGCU
Molecule: small RNA, 1066 nt
Filed under: Aspergillus glaucus
Lineage: Eukaryota; Fungi; Ascomycota; Eurotiomycetes; Eurotiales; Aspergillaceae
Also listed under: 2 other names
Description: eukaryotic LSU rRNA
Rfam family: Eukaryotic large subunit ribosomal RNA (bases 470-1066)
Source: RNAcentral